This 825-nucleotide long non-coding RNA is filed under the name Nicotiana benthamiana. Its description in RNAcentral is "long non-coding RNA (NBEN_LNC005236)". The record is from RNAcentral. Lineage: Eukaryota; Viridiplantae; Streptophyta; Magnoliopsida; Solanales; Solanaceae.
UCCAAUGGUGUCUGUCAUGAAGGUUGAAAAAGCUCCCUUGGAAUCAUAUGCUGACAUUGGUGGAUUAGAUGCCCAGAUUCAGGAGAUUAAAGAAGCGGUUGAGCUUCCUUUGACUCACCCUGAGUUAUAUGAAGACAUUGGUAUUAAACCUCCUAAAGGGGUCAUCCUGUAUGGAGAGCCUGGCACAGGCAAAACCUUGCCGAGUUAUAUGAAGACAUUGGCAUUAAACCUCCUAAAGGGGUCAUCCUGUAUGGAGAGCCUGGCACAGGCAAAACCUUGCUUGCUAAGGUUUGUGAAAUUUCUUUUUGUGUAUACUGAGCUUAGAGAUUUAGUUGAGCUUCCAUUUUCACUACCCUAGUUGGAAUCAACAAGUCCUGUAAUGUUAGUGGAGUUCUUGAAAUUCGAAGUAUGUCUACUUCUUACAAGACUACCUGUGACUUGAUGAAGGAAAGGAAAUGUGUAGCCAAGUUCGAAUUUAGCAAGGUGGUUUGGGAAUUUACUAUUUUAACUUUCGAGCGAAAUAUUUUCUGAUACAUUUCGUUUGUACAUGUGCAAACAGUUGUAAUCAACUAGUUAUUAGGCUUUUUCUUAUCUACUUUUGGAAUAGAAUGUCUCUCUAGUGCGAACAAUUGGAAUCUACUACUUGUUAUCGACUCUUUUUUCAUUCACUUCUAGAAUAUAUAAUGUCUCUCUAGCGCGUAAUAUGAAAAAUACUCAAGAGCUUUAUUAAACCUUUUUGUUCAGGCUGUUGCAAACUCCACUUCAGCCACUUUCUUACGUGUUGUUGGAAGUGAACUGAUCCAGAAGUAUUUAGGAGAUGGGCCU